This 883-nucleotide ribosomal RNA is filed under the name Cortinarius palatinus. RNAcentral describes it as "eukaryotic LSU rRNA". It matches the Rfam family "Eukaryotic large subunit ribosomal RNA", at positions 73 to 930 of the family's 3401-position model. The record is from RNAcentral. Lineage: Eukaryota; Fungi; Basidiomycota; Agaricomycetes; Agaricales; Cortinariaceae.
GAUUCCCCUAGUAACUGCGAGUGAAGCGGGAAAAGCUCAAAUUUAAAAUCUGUCAGUCUUUGGCUGUCCGAGUUGUAAUCUAGAGAAGUGUUAUCCGCGCUGGACCGUGUACAAGUCUCCUGGAAUGGAGCGUCAUAGAGGGUGAGAAUCCCGUCUUUGACACGGAUUGCCAGGGCUUUGUGAUAUGCUCUCAAAGAGUCGAGUUGUUUGGGAAUGCAGCUCAAAAUGGGUGGUAAAUUCCAUCUAAAGCUAAAUAUUGGCGAGAGACCGAUAGCGAACAAGUACCGUGAGGGAAAGAUGAAAAGAACUUUGGAAAGAGAGUUAAACAGUACGUGAAAUUGCUGAAAGGGAAACGCUUGAAGUCAGUCGCGUUGACUGGGGAUCAACCCUUGCUUUUGCUUGGUGUACUUUCUGGUCGACGGGUCAGCAUCAAUUUUGACUAUUGGAAAAAGAUUAGGGGAAUGUGGCAUCUUUGGAUGUGUUAUAGCCUCUGGUUGUAUACAAUGGUUCAGAUUGAGGAACUCAGCACGCCGCAAGGCCGGGUUUUUUUUUUUUUAAAAACCACGUACGUGCUUAGGAUGUUGGCAUAAUGGCUUUAAUUGACCCGUCUUGAAACACGGACCAAGGAGUCUAACAUGCCUGCGAGUGUUUGGGUGGAAAACCCGAGCGCGUAAUGAAAGUGAAAGUUGAGAUCCCUGUCGUGGGGAGCAUUGACGCCCGGACCAGACCUUUUGUGACGGUUCCGCGGWAGAGCAUGUAUGUUGGGACCCGAAAGAUGGUGAACUAUGCCUGAAUAGGGUGAAGCCAGAGGAAACUCUGGUGGAGGCUCGUAGCGAUUCUGACGUGCAAAUCGAUCGUCAAAUUUGGGUAUAGGGGCGAAAGA